This 482-nucleotide ribosomal RNA is filed under the name uncultured bacterium. Its description in RNAcentral is "partial 16S ribosomal RNA". It matches the Rfam family "Bacterial small subunit ribosomal RNA", at positions 28 to 507 of the family's 1533-position model. The record is from RNAcentral.
GACGAACGCUGGCGGCGUGCCUAACACAUGCAAGUCGAACGGAACUGUUUUGAAAGAUUUCUUCGGAAUGAAUUUGAUUUAGAUUAGUGGCGGACGGGUGAGUAACGCGUGAGUAACCUGCCUUCAAGAGGGGAAUAACAUUCUGAAAAGAAUGCUAAUACCGCAUGACAUAUCGGAACCACAUGGUUUUGAUAUCAAAGAUUUUAUCGCUUGAAGAUGGACUCGCGUCCGAUUAGUUAGUUGGUGAGGUAACGGCUCACCAAGACCGCGAUCGGUAGCCGGACUGAGAGGUUGAACGGCCACAUGGGGACUGAGACACGGCCCAGACUCCUACGGGAGGCAGCAGUGGGGGAGAUUGCGCAAUGGGGGCAACCCUGACGCAGCAACGCCGCGUGAAGGAUGAAGGUUUUCGGAUUGUAAACUUCUUUUAUUAAGGACGAAAAAUGACGGUACUUAAUGAAUAAGCUCCGGCUAACUACGUG